GACGUCGUGUGCAUGAUCAAAGCCCACGGGGCCGUUUGACUGAGCAUUCGCAUUCAAUUUGAAAUUUUGAAUUCAAGAAGUUGGCUCUGCGCUCGCCCGCUCCCACUCCCAGCUUGCUGUUCGACUGAUCCAAUCCAACUCUUUUCCAGCUUUAGCACUCAAUAUCCGUUCCAAAAACCCUCUUCAUCUAUACUCUCUAACUCAAUGACCUCAUCUCUCUCUCACUCAAUUGACGACAAAGACCUUGACGACGCUGCAUUGUGGGCUGUGAUUGACUCCGCUGAGGCCUCUCAUUCUUCCUCCAAGUCCCGCAAGCCACUUGCUCUCAAAUACCCCAAUUUCCAGUCCCCGCCCACCCCAAUCUCCAACUUCUCUCCUCCUCAAAACCCUAGAUGCCAAUUUAGAAAUAAUUCACCCAUUUCUGAUCCUUAUCGCAGGCCUCACAAGAUUGCCAGAUCUUGCGCUUCCGAGGUCAGCGAAUGCACUGGCCCGCUGGAAAUAGUCAGGACGCCUAUUGCCAAUACGGUGCUGUAUUCAUCUCCCGAGGCUUACUUAUCACCGCAAAUAAGGAUGUUUAGACCAAAUGAGCUCAAUGAUGGGUCUGAAGUUUCUCCUGGUAGCUAUGUGCGUAGUGAGGAGAAGGAUGUUAUGAGGCAUUGCUUGAGUGGGAGGUUUCCUUCCGUUUCGCUCUUUAAGGAUUAUCAGAAUGCGGCUAUGGCGAUAUUGGAGAAAUCUGAUUACACUAUGAUUUCUGGGAAUCCUUUCAUUAAAAAGUCAGGUUGGAGAAAGAUAUCAUGUUACUUCAAUCUUUCUUAUGAAAUCAAAGACAAGACCAUUGAAUUCGAUGAUAACCGAAAUGUUCUGCGGGCUGAGUUUGUUGUUCGCGCAUAUAUGCAGGGUGGCAGGUUCUCUGAUGGAUGGGGCUCAUGUGAGCGACGUGAGAAGAGAUUCUUAAAACCAAAUCAUGAUAUCCCUAGCACAGCUGAAACCAGGGCAAAAAACAAAGCCUGCCAGGACCUACUUGGAAUUGGAGAAUAUCGACCUGGUGUGAGCCAAUUUAAUCAAAAAUAGUCACACAUUGUACAACUAGGAAAUGCUAUUCCACGAAAUUUAUCAAGGACUGUAUACUCUGUGACAUUUGAUCUGAUUUACAUCAUUCCUCCUUGCAAUAUUUGAAGCUGUGCACAUAAUUUUUUCCUCUUUGUCGUGAAUAUUGUGCAAUCUGUCAACAGAGCUUGUGGACCAGAUAAAGGAAAGGCGCUCUUUUCCUUUCAAUUUUUUUUUUCCAAUUCUUGUGCUAUCUCUUUCCUCUUUUUGCAUUGAAUUACUAGUUAUGUAUCAGGACAAAAGCAACUACUAACUUCACACAAAUGGUUUCCAUCUAUGUCCAACUGAAUGAAUUGAAAAAC
RNAcentral lists this unclassified non-coding RNA (1409 nucleotides) under Hevea brasiliensis (rubber tree). The record is from RNAcentral. Lineage: Eukaryota; Viridiplantae; Streptophyta; Magnoliopsida; Malpighiales; Euphorbiaceae.